GUAGUCUCGCACAGAUGCAUAUCAAUAAGCGGAGGAAAAGAAACUAACAAGGAUUCCUCUAGUAACGGCGAGUGAAGCGGGAAGAGCUCAAAUUUGAAAUCUUAAAGGGUUUCCCCUUACGAAUUGUAGUUUAAAGAAGUGUUUUCUGUUGAGGUUUUGGUAAAAGUUCUUUGGAAUAGGACAUCAUAGAGGGUGAGAAUCCCGUAUUUGACCUUUACUUUCAACUUUGUGAUACACUUUCAAAGAGUCGGAUUGUUUGGGGAUGCAGUCCAAAAUGGGUGGUAAAUUUCAUCUAAAGCUAAAUAUUGGCGAGAGACCGAUAGCGAACAAGUACCGUGAGGGAAAGAUGAAAAGAACUUUGAAAAGAGAGUUAAACAGUACGUGAAAUUGUCAAAAGGGAAGCGUUUGACACCAGUGUUGUUUUUCUGAAAAUCAAUUAAAGAACUGUUUAUGCUAAGCUGUUUAGACUUUAUCAGCUAACUGUUUAGUUUUGAGCUUUUCUUUAAUGCACUUUUCAGUUAACAAGUCAACAUCAAUUUCUUUUGCUGUAAAAAAGCUUGAGGAAGGUGGCUUGAGAUUCGUCUUAAGUGUUUAUAGCCUCUUGCCUAUGCAGUCGGAGAGAUUGAGGUCUGCAGCGUAGAUCCUUCGGGGCUAAAUGCAUUUGUGCUAAGUUAUAGCAUUUCAUAGACAACUUGUUGACUAUGAUUUGUCUUGUAGCUUACUCGCUUAUGUUAUUUUACCUACGCUUAGGAUGUUGAUCUGUAGUGCGUGCGC
This 774-nucleotide ribosomal RNA is filed under the name uncultured Neocallimastigales. RNAcentral describes it as "partial large subunit ribosomal RNA". It matches the Rfam family "Eukaryotic large subunit ribosomal RNA", at positions 24 to 646 of the family's 3401-position model. Lineage: Eukaryota; Fungi; Neocallimastigomycota; Neocallimastigomycetes; Neocallimastigales. The record is from RNAcentral.